Astatotilapia calliptera (eastern happy) is the source of this 1074-nucleotide long non-coding RNA. Lineage: Eukaryota; Metazoa; Chordata; Actinopteri; Cichliformes; Cichlidae. The record is from Ensembl.
UUUUUAACAAUCCUAACUAAACUGAAAAUGCAAUUUAGUUAUAUUAAUUUUCACAGGUAAAAAUGAAUCAAACUACUUGAAAAAAUAAAAUACACAUAUUUUCUUUAGAAAUUAGCUCCUAAUUAAAGCUGCUGUCAUGUCAGAUUUGGUUUGAUAUCAACUUUGUACUAUUUUAUAGUAUUUUCACCAGAGCAUAAAUUUAUUAUUUUAAUACAUAUUGGCAUUUCCUAAAUUCUUGUGUAAGUUCUGGCACUUUAUCCUGCAGUAUUGAUGAGAUGAUAUAAUUAUGCUAAAGCAUUUUCUUUUUUGUAGCGACUAAAUAUUCGGCCAUUUAACUUUUUUUUUCUUUUUUCAUUUGACCGAGCCAUAUGAUAUUAUACUUGUCAGUUUCAUCUCAUUUUUAUCUAGGUCACAUUGUUGCUGAGGAAACAUGCAAUCUAGCAAAUGUUUAACAAAUACCUCUAGACUCUCUAGCUAAAGUUAACCGGGGUAGCUAGGGUAAAAUUAUCUCAGGUUCAGGUCUGUCUGUGAAUUAAAAUCACUAUGAGUCAGGGAUGCACAGCUUAGAACACAUUUCAGGAAGUUCUCUGGGCAGCUAGUCAGAGCUGUGCAUGUAUUUUUCUGAUAAGAAAACACUUAUUGCCCACAUACCUGUUAACAUGUAUGAAAAUAGCACUUUUAUCUAAGUACUAGUCUGCAAGACUGCAGAUGCAUGAAGGUAAGUGCUACUAUUAGAAUGUUAUAUUCAUACUGAACAAGCUUUUUACAUCAUUUGAUAGAUUAAAAUGUGCACGUGAGCACUCUUGACCCUGCACAUAUGUGUAGAUCUUGAACAGCUUGUUCACACACAAUGAUAGAAAAUAGCAUUGCUCCAAUAUUAGCAUACUUUAUUAAUGUGCUGCUUAACAUGUAUGAAGGGAAAGACACAUUAGAGAGAAGAUAAGACAGGGAAAAAUAAAUGUGUUUUUAAAAAAGCAAAUUGAAAAGAGAAAGGGGAGAGAAAAGAGGGGAGUGGGGGGUUAGGAUGAGAAGAUGAGAGUUGUGGAUGAGAGAUGAGAAGUGGGUAGGAGAGGA